Molecule: transfer RNA, 90 nt
Filed under: Chloroflexota bacterium
Lineage: Bacteria; Bacillati; Chloroflexota
Description: Chloroflexi bacterium tRNA-Leu
Rfam family: tRNA
About the family: Transfer RNA (tRNA) molecules are approximately 80 nucleotides in length.
Source: RNAcentral
GCGGGAGUGGCGGAACUGGUAGACGCGAUGGCCCCAGGAGCCAUUGGCCCUUACACGGCCGUGGGGGUUCAAAUCCCCCCUUCCGCACUA